AACGCGAAGAACCUUACCCAGGUUUGACAUGCAGUGGACAGCUACAGAGAUGUAGAAUCCCGCAAGGGCCGCUGCACAGGUGCUGCAUGGCUGUCGUCAGCUCGUGCCGUGAGGUGUUGGGUUAAGUCCCGCAACGAGCGCAACCCUUAUCAUUAGUUGCCAACACGUUAGGGUGGGGACUCUAGUGAGACUGCCUGGGUUAACCAGGAGGAAGGUGAGGAUGACGUCAAGUCAGCAUGGCCCUUAUAUCUGGGGCUACACACGUGCUACAAUGGUCGGUACAGAAGGCAGCGAAGUCGCGAGAUGGAGCAAAUCCCCAAAGCCGACCCCAGUUCAGAUUGUAGUCUGCAACUCGACUACAUGAAGUUGGAAUUGCUAGUAAUGGCGCGUCAGCUACAGCGCCGUGAAUACGUUCCCGGGCCUUGUACACACCGAGUAUA
Molecule: ribosomal RNA, 440 nt
Filed under: uncultured bacterium
Lineage: Bacteria
Description: bacterial SSU rRNA
Rfam family: Bacterial small subunit ribosomal RNA
Source: RNAcentral